This 1232-nucleotide ribosomal RNA is filed under the name metagenome. Its description in RNAcentral is "bacterial LSU rRNA". It matches the Rfam family "Bacterial large subunit ribosomal RNA", at positions 1696 to 2925 of the family's 2925-position model. The record is from RNAcentral.
CAACUCUCGUUAAGGAACUCGGCAAAAUGACCCCGUAACUUCGGGAGAAGGGGUGCUUUUUGAGGUGAAUAGCCUCGAAGAGCCGCAGUGAAUAGGCCCAGGCGACUGUUUAGCAAAAACACAGGUCUCUGCGAAGCCGCAAGGCGAAGUAUAGGGGCUGACGCCUGCCCGGUGCUGGAAGGUUAAGAGGAGGGGUUAGCUCACGCGAAGCUCUGAAUCGAAGCCCCAGUAAACGGCGGCCGUAACGAUAACGGUCCUAAGGUAGCGAAAUUCCUUGUCGGGUAAGUUCCGACCCGCACGAAAGGCGUAACGAUCUGGGCACUGUCUCAACGAGAGACUCGGUGAAAUUAUAGUACCUGUGAAGAUGCAGGUUACCCGCGACAGGACGGAAAGACCCCGUGGAGCUUUACUGUAGCCUGAUAUUGAAUUUUGGUACAGCUUGUACAGGAUAGGUAGGAGCCUGAGAAGCCGGAGCGCUAGCUUCGGUGGAGGCGUCGGUGGGAUACUACCCUGGCUGUAUUGAAGUUCUAACCCGCACCCCCUCAUCGGGGUGGGAGACAGUGUCAGGUGGGCAGUUUGACUGGGGCGGUCGCCUCCUAAAGAGUAACGGAGGCGCCCAAAGGUUCCCUCAGAAUGGUUGGAAAUCAUUCGCAGAGUGUAAAGGCACAAGGGAGCUUGACUGCGAGACCUACAAGUCGAGCAGGGACGAAAGUCGGGCUUAGUGAUCCGGUGGUUCCGCAUGGAAGGGCCAUCGCUCAACGGAUAAAAGCUACCCCGGGGAUAACAGGCUUAUCUCCCCCAAGAGUCCACAUCGACGGGGAGGUUUGGCACCUCGAUGUCGGCUCAUCGCAUCCUGGGGCUGUAGUCGGUCCCAAGGGUUGGGCUGUUCGCCCAUUAAAGCGGUACGCGAGCUGGGUUCAGAACGUCGUGAGACAGUUCGGUCCCUAUCCGUCGUGGGCGCAGGAAAUUUGAGAGGAGCUGUCCUUAGUACGAGAGGACCGGGAUGGACGCACCGCUGGUGUACCAGUUGUUCUGCCAAGAGCAUCGCUGGGUAGCUAUGUGCGGACGGGAUAAGUGCUGAAAGCAUCUAAGCAUGAAGCCCCCCUCAAGAUGAGAUUUCCCAUAGCGCAAGCUAGUAAGAACCCUGAAAGAUGAUCAGGUUGAUAGGUCAGAGGUGGAAGCGUGGUAACAUGUGGAGCUGACUGAUACUAAUCGUUCGAGGACUUAACCAA